RNAcentral lists this ribosomal RNA (484 nucleotides) under uncultured bacterium. RNAcentral's name for it is "partial 16S ribosomal RNA". It matches the Rfam family "Bacterial small subunit ribosomal RNA", at positions 30 to 507 of the family's 1533-position model. The record is from RNAcentral.
AUUGAACGCUGGCGGCAGGCCUAACACAUGCGAGUCGAGCGGAUGAAGGGAGCUUGCUCCUGGAUUCAGCGGCGGACGGGUGAGUAAUGCCUAGGAAUCUGCCUGGUAGUGGGGGAUAACGUCCGGAAACGGGCGCUAAUACCGCAUACGUCCCGAGGGAGUAAGUGGGGGAUCUUCGGACCUCACGCUAUCAGAUGAGCCUAGGUCGGAUUAGCUAGUUGGUGGGGUAAAGGCCUACCAAGGCGACGAUCCGUAACUGGUCUGGGAGGAUGAUCAGUCACACUGGAACUGAGACACGGUCCAGACUCCUACGGGAGGCAGCAGUGGGGAAUAUUGGACAAUGGGCGAAAGCCUGAUCCAGCCAUGCCGCGUGUGUGAAGAAGGUCUUCGGAUUGUAAAGCACUUUAAGUUGGGAGGAAGGGCAGUAAGUUAAUACCUUGCUGUUUUGACGUUACCAACAGAAUAAGCACCGGCUAACUUCGUG